Molecule: ribosomal RNA, 254 nt
Filed under: uncultured bacterium
Lineage: Bacteria
Description: partial 16S ribosomal RNA
Rfam family: Bacterial small subunit ribosomal RNA
Source: RNAcentral
UACGUAGGGUGCGAGCGUUGUCCGGAAUUAUUGGGCGUAAAGAGCUCGUAGGCGGUGUGUCGCGUCGGUCGUGAAAACUUGGGGCUUAACUCUGAGCUUGCGGUCGAUACGGGCAUCACUGGAGUUCGGCAGGGGAGACUGGAAUUCCUGGUGUAGCGGUGAAAUGCGCAGAUAUCAGGAAGAACACCCGUGGCUAAGGCGGUUCUCUAGUACGGUACUGACGCUGAGACGCGAAAGCGUGGGGAGCGAACAGG